GUUAACUUCAAAUGAUCAUAUAUUUUAGCACAUAAAGAAUUAAGUGGCUCAUGACCUAUUAAAUUAAAGGUAUUUGAGUCCUCUUUAUAAAGCUGCCAAAUUUGUUAAUUUCGAGCUCGGAGUAGAAAGUUAUGGCCGUUUUAGUGAAGCCUCUCUUCUAAAGACAUUUCAAUCAUUUUAGAGGGGUAGUUUGGUCUUUUNNNNNN
Molecule: long non-coding RNA, 206 nt
Filed under: Solanum tuberosum (potato)
Lineage: Eukaryota; Viridiplantae; Streptophyta; Magnoliopsida; Solanales; Solanaceae
Description: long non-coding RNA (STUB_LNC001166)
Source: RNAcentral